Molecule: non-coding RNA, 99 nt
Filed under: Candidatus Burkholderia verschuerenii
Lineage: Bacteria; Pseudomonadati; Pseudomonadota; Betaproteobacteria; Burkholderiales; Burkholderiaceae
Also listed under: 1 other name
Description: ZMP/ZTP riboswitch aptamer (pfl RNA motif)
Rfam family: ZMP/ZTP riboswitch aptamer (pfl RNA motif)
About the family: Previously known as pfl RNA. ZMP is also known as AICAR.
Source: Rfam by way of RNAcentral
ACAACCCCGCGUGACUGGCGAUAGGAUCUUCGGAUCCAAGGUGGAGCAACCCACCAGGAAGCGCUGAGCGUCGUUUUGCCGUUCGCCUGGGCAGCUGAG